This is a long non-coding RNA of Numida meleagris (helmeted guineafowl), 1167 nucleotides long. RefSeq lists it as uncharacterized. NCBI's taxonomy places the organism in Eukaryota, Metazoa, Chordata, Aves, Galliformes, Numididae. The transcript has 3 exons. The record is from RefSeq and is a predicted model, not a curated record.
UCUAAGGCAGGUGUUAACAAUAUAGUCAUCUGGAGGAAGAGUGUCACAGCAAUGGCAAGAGAGAGAUAAUUGACAGGAUGGGGAUUGCUAUGUCUGAUGAUGAGAGGCUUCGCAGCAGGUAGCAAAGUAGAGAAAAUAAAUUGAGCCCAUUUCAAGAGUGUCCAGAAGCGAGCAACACUCACUGGCAUCAAAGGUCCUGUAUGUUCCUGAACACCUCUUCCUGUUCAAGAUGAUGGGGAGCUGACUCACAAAAAGGGCAAAAAUUAGAUUGCUCUGAAGAAGGAACUGGACCUAAGCACCAGCUGAGUGCAGAGGAUCUCUGAAAGACACACAUGAAUAACCAGAGCUGAUCAUGAGGGAAGCUGGCCCAGGAGGCAUUAACUGGCAAUUUGGAUUAAAAUGCCUCAUCUGAAGAAAUUACUCCACGGAUGAACGGUUACCUUGCAGGAAGAGAAAAAUGCACUGAAGGACCAUUGCGCUGGCAUAUGUUUGUGACCUGCGACAGAGGAGCCCCAGGAAUAAUCGCUGAGAACUGCAAAAAGAAACCUACUUUGCCAAAGAAGCAGGAUAAACAUCAGGCAUAUCCCUGCUUUAGCUCCAGGGUGCAACUGGCCCAGAGUCUUUCCUCCUUGUCAGAGAGAGCUGUGGGAACCUGUGCUUUUAUUUCAAAUGUACAGCAGCAAGAAGGAAAGCUAAAGAGCAUUUUAACCUGAAAAUUAAAAGUGAAACAAGGAAAGCAUAGCACUCUGAGGGUACGACUUUUCUUAUUCUAAUAAAGUUUCCUCUUUUCACUACUUUUCACGACAUAACAGAGGUAGAAAGUGAGGGACUGAUGAAUGCCAGACUGUUGUUCAACAGAUUUACUACUCAAAUAAACAAGACACACAACAUGGAAAAAUAAAUACAUCAGUCCCAGAUUUAAGGAUGUUCAAUCCAAGAACUGAGAGAUUCCAUAAUCUGUGCUGUAGAGGUGGGACACAUACCAGAAACCUUUUGCCUAUCCCUCCCCUCUUUUUCUGUGAUCAGUAAGUCUUUUUCUCUUAUAAAUUAAAAAAUUGUUUUUCAAGGACAGCCACUAAACAUCCUGGCUUUCAUCUAAUUUUUAGCAAAACAUUGUUCCUUCCUUUUUUUUUUUUAAACUUACACAUAAAAGGAAACAGUUAAACA